AACGAACGCUGGCGGCAGGCCUAAUACAUGCAAGUCGAACGGAUGUAGCAAUACAUUAGUGGCGCACGGGUGCCUAACGCGUGGGAACAUACCCUUGAGUAAGGAAUAAUGUCUGGAAACGGACACUAAUACCUUAUAAUGACUUCGGUCCAAAGAUUUAUCGCUCAAGGAUUGGCCCGCGUCUGAUUAGCUAGUUGGUGAGGUAACGGCUCACCAAGGCGACGAUCAGUAGCUGGUCUGAGAGGAUGAUCAGCCACACUGGGACUGAGACACGGCCCAGACUCCUACGGGAGGCAGCAGUAAGGAAUAUUGGACAAUGGGGGUAACCCUGAUCCAGCCAUGCCGCGUGAGUGAAGAAGGCCUUAGGGUUGUAAAGCUCUUUCAAUAGUGAAGAUAAUGACGGUAGCUAUAGAAGAAGCCCCGGCUAAAUUCGUGCCAGCAGCCGCGGUAA
This 451-nucleotide ribosomal RNA is filed under the name uncultured bacterium. RNAcentral's name for it is "partial 16S ribosomal RNA". It matches the Rfam family "Bacterial small subunit ribosomal RNA", at positions 29 to 523 of the family's 1533-position model. The record is from RNAcentral.